GAUGAACGCUGGCGGCGUGCCUAAUACAUGCAAGUCGAGCGGAAAGACCCUUCGGGAUACUCCAGCGGCGGAGGGGUGAGUAAGGGGUAAGAAUGUACCCCACAGUGCGGAAUAAGUGCUCGACAGAGUAGCAAAUGCCGCAAGAGCUCAUCGGAGGCCAGCUUCAUGCGCUUUGGGCAUCGCUUGCGUUUGAUUAGCUAGUUGGUAAGGUAACGGCUUACCAAGGCGACGAUCAGUAGCUGGUCUGAGAGGAUGAUCAGCCACACUGGGACUGAGACACGGCCCAGACUCCUACGGGAGGCAGCAGUGGGGAAUUUUGCACAAUGGGCGCAAGCCUGAUCCAGCAAUGCCGCGUGCGGGAAGAAGGCCUUCGGGUUGUAAACUGCUUUUGUACGGGGAGAAAAGGUCUCCGCGAAUACAGGGGGGUCAUGACGGUACCGUAAGAAUAAGCACCGGCUAACUACGUGCCAGCCGCCGCAGUAA
This 483-nucleotide ribosomal RNA is filed under the name uncultured bacterium. RNAcentral's name for it is "partial 16S ribosomal RNA". It matches the Rfam family "Bacterial small subunit ribosomal RNA", at positions 28 to 523 of the family's 1533-position model. The record is from RNAcentral.